CGAGUUGACCGAGACAAUCGCUGCAUCAUCUUUAUGGAUGGUGGGGAGGAAAGUCCGGGCUCCAAAGAGCAGGGUGCCAGAUAACGUCUGGGCGGCGUGAGCCGACGACAAGUGCAGCAGAGAGAAGACCGCCAAGCUUGCUUGGUAAGGGUGAAAGGGUGCGGUAAGAGCGCACCGGGCCACUGGUAACAGUUGGUUGCAAGGUAAACUCCACUCGGAGCAAGAUCAAAUAGGUUCCCGCAUGGCGUGGCUCGCGUUGGGAACGGGUAGAUUGCUUGAGCCUGCGAGCGAUUGCAGGCCUAGACGAAUGAUUGUCGCUGUCGCAAGACAGAACAGAACCCGGCUUACAAGUGUCAACUCACUAA
This 365-nucleotide RNase P RNA is filed under the name Parashewanella curva. Its description in RNAcentral is "Bacterial RNase P class A". It matches the Rfam family "Bacterial RNase P class A". From Rfam's summary of the family: Ribonuclease P (RNase P) is a ubiquitous endoribonuclease, found in archaea, bacteria and eukarya as well as chloroplasts and mitochondria. Its best characterised activity is the generation of mature 5'-ends of tRNAs by cleaving the 5'-leader elements of precursor-tRNAs. Cellular RNase Ps are ribonucleoproteins. The record is from Rfam by way of RNAcentral. Lineage: Bacteria; Pseudomonadati; Pseudomonadota; Gammaproteobacteria; Alteromonadales; Shewanellaceae.